This 2007-nucleotide ribosomal RNA is filed under the name Triticum aestivum (bread wheat). RNAcentral describes it as "partial small subunit ribosomal RNA". Lineage: Eukaryota; Viridiplantae; Streptophyta; Magnoliopsida; Poales; Poaceae. The record is from RNAcentral.
AUGAAGAUGAGCCGGCAAUGGAUGUACGAUGACCGAUGCUCUCCCCAGUUCGUUGAGGGCGUGCAUACUUUUCUGCUUGCGGCUGAGGCAAACAAGCGGGCGGAUGGUUUUAUGCCUUGUCCAUGUGCUCGCUGUAAGAAUGGUCACAAUUACUCUACGUCAAGAACCAUUCACGUCCACUUGUUUAAGUCCGGUUUCAUGCCCCAUUAUAAUGUUUGGACCAAGCACGGAGAAAGAGGGGUUAUGAUGGAAGACAAUGAAGAAGAAGAGGACGACGACAGCUAUCCUGGCCAUGGGUUUCCUGAAUACGAUGAUACAACAAUGGGGGAAGAAGCUGAGCCGGUAAUGCAGGAAGAAGCUGAGCCGGCAAUGCGGGAAGAAGCUGAAGAAGAGGCAUCAGAUGAGCCCGUUGAUGAUCUAGGUCGGGCCAUUGCCGAUGCAAAGAGAAACUGCGCAAGUGAUUUGGAGAAGAAGAAGUUGCAGCGCAUGUUAGAGGAUCACAAAAAAUUGUUGUACCCGAAUUGCGUAGGUGACAAGAAAAAGCUGGGCACCACACUGGAUUUGCUGCAAUGGAAGGCAGAGAAUGGUGUAUCUGACAAGGGAUUUGGAAAGUUGCUGGUAAUGAUAAAGGAUAUGCUUCCAAAGGAUAACGAAUUGCCCGAGAGUACAUACGAAGCAAAGAAGGCUAUCUGCCCUCUAGGGUUAGAGGUGCAGAAGAUAUAUGCAUGCCCUAAUGAUUGCAUCCUCUACCGCGGUGAGUAUGAGGAUUUGAACGCUUGCCCGGUAUGUGGUGCAUUGCGCUAUAAGAUCUGCCGCGAUGACCCUGGUGAUGUCGAGGGCCGGCGUCCCAGGAAGAAGAUUCCUGCCAAGGUGAUGUGGUAUGCUCCUAUAAUAUCACGGUUGAAACGUUUGUUCCAAAACAAAGAGCAUGCCAAGGCGAUGCGAUGGCACAGAGAAGACCGUAAGAAAGACGGAAAGUUGAGAGUACCCGCUGACGGGUCGCAGUGGAGAAAAAUCGAAAGAAAGUACGGGAAGGAGUUUGCAGAUGACGCAAGGAGCGUAUGGUUUGGUCUAAGCGCAGAUGGCAUUAAUCCUUUUGGGGAGCAGAGCAGCAACCAUAGCACCUGGCCUGUGACUCUAUAUUUGUAUAACCUUCCUUCUUGGUUGUGCAUGAAGCGGAAGUUCAUUAUGAUGCCAGUGCUCAUCCAAGGCCCUAAGCAACCCGACAACGACAUUGAUGUGUACCUAAGGCCAUUAGUUGAAGAACUCUUACAACUGUGGAAUGGAACAGGUGUACGUGCGUGGGAUGAGCACAUGGGGGAAGAAUUUGACCCAAAGGCAUUGCUGUUCGUGACCAUCAAUGAUUGGCCUGCUCUCAGUAACCUUUCAGGACAGACAAACAAGGGAUACCGCGCAUGCACGCACUAUUUGGACGAUACCAACAGUAUAUAUUUGGCUAAUAAGAAUGUGUACCUUGGACAUCGUCGAUUUCUUCCGAGCAGGCAUCCCGUAAGAAAGAAAGGCAAUCAUUUCAAAGGUGAGGCGGAUCACCGGACGAAGCCUCGCCACCGUACUGGUGCUGAUGUACAUGAUAUGGUCAAGGAUUUGAAGGUGGUCUUUGGAAAGGGUCCUGGUGGACAACCUGUUCCGAAUGACGCUGACGGACGCUCACCCAUGUGGAAGAAGAAAUCUAUAUUUUGGGACCUGCCCUAUUGGAAAGACCUCGAGGUCCGCUCCGCAAUCGAUGUGAUGCACGUGACGAAGAAUCUUUGUGUGACCCUGCUUGGCUUCUUGGGCGUGUAUGGGAAGACAAAAGAUACACCUGAGGCACGGGAGGACCAGCAACGUAUGCACGGAAAAGACGGCAUACAUCAGGGUCAUGCAAGCUACGCUCUUACCAAAGAAGAGAAGGAAAUCUUCUUUGAAUGCCUGCUCAGUAUUAAGGUACCGUCUGGCUUCUCGUCGAAUAUAAAGGGAAUAAUAAACAUGGCAGAGAAAAAGUUCUAG